UACGGAGGGUGCGAGCGUUAAUCGGAAUUACUGGGCGUAAAGCGCGCGUAUGCGGUUUUAUAAGUCGGAUGUGAAAUCCCCGAGCUCAACUUGGGAACUGCAUUCGAUACUGUCUAACUAGAGUAUGGUAGAGGAAAGUGGAAUUCCCGGUGUAGCGGUGAAAUGCGUAGAUAUCGGGAGGAACAUCAGUGGCGAAGGCGGCUUUCUGGACCAAUACUGACGCUGAGGCGCGAAAGCGUGGGUAGCAAACAGG
Molecule: ribosomal RNA, 253 nt
Filed under: uncultured bacterium
Lineage: Bacteria
Description: partial 16S ribosomal RNA
Rfam family: Bacterial small subunit ribosomal RNA
Source: RNAcentral